GAUCAGUUUGAUGAAGAGGACCCUAAGGAAGGGCACUCAAAAGUGGCAUUUUUUAGCUACUUCUACCUAGCUUUGAACCUGGGCUCCCUCUUCUCCAACACUAUAUUGGGGUAUUUUGAAGAUGAAGGGAUGUGGGCGCUAGGCUUCUGGGUUUCAACAGGCUCUGCCUUAGCAGCAUUGAUCUUGUUUCUUGGAGGAACAGCCAGAUACAGGCACUUCAAACCUACUGGUAACCCUCUUUCCAGGUUCUGUCAAGUCUUUGUUGCUGCAACAAAGAAGUGCAGCGUCCAAAUGCCAGAAGAUGCAGAGGACUUGUAUGAUGUAGAUGGAAAAGAGUGCUCUGUGAAUGGCAACAGAAAGAUACUCCACACUCAUGGAUUCAAGUUCUUGGAUAGAGCAGCUUUCAUCUCAUCAAGAGAUAUGGAUGACCAGAUGCAGGGUUGUCGCAAUCCAUGGCGUCUCUGCCCAAUUACACAAGUGGAAGAAGUUAAAUGUAUAUUGAGACUACUCCCAAUUUGGCUCUGCACCAUAAUCUACUCGGUGGUUUUCACACAGAUGGCUUCUCUGUUUGUAGAACAAGGUGCUGCAAUGAAAACUACCAUCUCAAACUUCAGAAUCCCUCCUGCCAGCAUGUCUAGCUUUGACAUUCUCAGUGU
RNAcentral lists this unclassified non-coding RNA (656 nucleotides) under Hevea brasiliensis (rubber tree). Lineage: Eukaryota; Viridiplantae; Streptophyta; Magnoliopsida; Malpighiales; Euphorbiaceae. The record is from RNAcentral.